Molecule: ribosomal RNA, 255 nt
Filed under: uncultured bacterium
Lineage: Bacteria
Description: partial 16S ribosomal RNA
Rfam family: Bacterial small subunit ribosomal RNA
Source: RNAcentral
UACGUAGGGUGCGAGCGUUGUCCGGAAUUAUUGGGCGUAAAGAGCUCGUAGGCGGUGUGUCACGUCGUUCGUGAAAACCUGCAGCUUAACUGUGGGCGUGCGGUCGAUACGGGCAUCACUGGAGUUCGGCAGGGGAGACUGGAAUUCCUGGUGUAGCGGUGAAAUGCGCAGAUAUCAGGAGGAACACCGGUGGCGAAGGCGGGUCUCUGGGGCCGAUACUGACGCUGAGACGCGAAAGCGUGGGGAGCGAACAGG